GAAUUGAGUAUUUAAUAAACAAGUACUGAACACCCUUUACCUGCCACCCUCUCUACUCUGCUUGGAAACAUUGACUUUCAAUGCUGGAAUGAACCUUCCAGUUAUCUGGCCCCCCAAUGUAUUUCAAGGAGGAGGAGCUUGAAGCCACUGCUGCUGUCAGGGUAUUUCUGGUUUCUGGGUGGAGGAGGGGAACAGCAGCAGCUGGAAGUUCUGUUUGUUGCUCUUCAUUCAGAGUCAGAGGAGCCCUUCAGAGAUCACUUAGAAGGGAUAACUUUGGAGAGAACUUCCGGCUAAUCAUCCAACAGUGGCUUGCUAGAAUGAAGGCCAUGAACUUUGUGCUGAGAGAAGCUUUGGGAUUUCAGAAGAAUAUUCUCAAAUGUUUGUUGCAGAGAAAAAUCACUCCUGUUGAGAACCACUACCUUUAAAAGAUGAGAAAAGAUGCAAGAGAAAGAUGCAAGAGAAAGAGUUGGAGAUGGAAUGGUCCAUGGUGCAACAGUGACUGCAGCUCCUGUCCCCAUCCAUCAGCAAUGAUGAGGAUCAAGUGUUGGCUCACUUGCUGAAUGGGGCAACAUGGAGCUACGAAGAGUUUCUUCCAACUGACCCUGGGACCUUGACUAAGUCUCAAAUUUACUCCAUAUGGAAAGCAGGUAGUCUAAAAU
Pipistrellus kuhlii (Kuhl's pipistrelle) is the source of this 659-nucleotide long non-coding RNA. RefSeq lists it as uncharacterized. The record is from RefSeq and is a predicted model, not a curated record. The transcript has 3 exons. NCBI's taxonomy places the organism in Eukaryota, Metazoa, Chordata, Mammalia, Chiroptera, Vespertilionidae.